RNAcentral lists this unclassified non-coding RNA (358 nucleotides) under Hevea brasiliensis (rubber tree). Lineage: Eukaryota; Viridiplantae; Streptophyta; Magnoliopsida; Malpighiales; Euphorbiaceae. The record is from RNAcentral.
CAGAUAUUGGGCAAGCUACCUCGAAAACCGUCAAAAUCAUCGAAUAAUGACUCAAACAAUGAUGGUGGGGUCAAUGCCUUUUCUUCUCUAAAUUCUUCCCACGGACCCAAUUCCAUAAACAGCUCAAAGGCGUCCUCCAUUGCUUCGAAGUCUGCUAGUUCGGGUUUGGGCGCUUCGCGCGUGAACAAUGGGACCAUUGCACCACAGAACAAAUCUAAUCAAGGAAAAAAAUCUGCCGCCGUUGCAGGCCAAGUGGGUCCGAUGUUGGCUUCUGGGGUUUACGAGCCAUUGCCUAAUUUCAAGGAUGUUCCUAGUUCGGAGAAGCAGAAUCUCUUUAUUAGAAAGUUGAACAUGUGCU